CGUCGAGCAAAACCCCAUCAAUCUCGAACUCCAUCUCGGAGAAAUUGAGUUGGAUCUCCUAUAGGGCAAUACCGAUCUAGAACUCCUCCAUAAAAGUUUCACUAUUUCACUCCAUUGAGCACUCUCCAAGCUUAGAUACUGAUGGAGAUAGAAUGCUAAAAAGAACUCCCCAGACCAAGAAAAAUGGCUGCUUCAAUGCG
This 200-nucleotide long non-coding RNA is filed under the name Elaeis guineensis (African oil palm). Its description in RNAcentral is "long non-coding RNA (EGUI_LNC046562)". Lineage: Eukaryota; Viridiplantae; Streptophyta; Magnoliopsida; Arecales; Arecaceae. The record is from RNAcentral.